This is an RNA transcript of Coffea arabica (coffee), 5144 nucleotides long. It is a transcript of the gene named zinc finger protein BRUTUS-like At1g74770, with no coding region annotated. The record is from RefSeq and is a predicted model, not a curated record. Lineage: Eukaryota; Viridiplantae; Streptophyta; Magnoliopsida; Gentianales; Rubiaceae.
GUGGCAAGAAACAGGCCUCCCUCGAACCAACAGGCAAAGAAAGACAGUGGCAUCAAUCAAUCAAUCAAUCAAAUAGUAUAAGUAACUCGAACUUUGAUGAUUGAGCUUCCCCUUUGGCCCCUUUCGCCAUUAAUGAUAGGUGGUGGCUCUGGAGGUGGAGCUGUUUUAGUCAAUGGCCGGCGAAGAACCCGAAAAGGAGGAUGGGGAGGAGGAUGCAAUAACAGUAACAGAGGCCUUAUUACCUUGCCUGGAUGGUGCGAAACUGGUUGAUGCACCUAUUCUUUUCUUUGUUCUUUCUCACAAGGCUUUUGUCAGGGAGCUUGAGCAGCUCCACCGCUCCGCCCUGGAGGUGGCUGACACUGGGUCCCCUGAUCGCCAGUUUGUGGAUGAUCUUGGCCGGAGGUUUGACUUCUUUAAGCUUGUUUAUAAGUACCACGCUGCAGCGGAAGAUGAGAUUGUAUUUCCAGCUCUAAAUAGCAAAGUAAAGAACGUGGUGACUACAUCUGCAUUAGAACAUAAGUGCAUCAAUGAUGACUUCUGCUCCGCAGUCCAGUGCUUGGAUCUUUUAAGAAAAGAGUGUGAAGAUUUUACCCAUCUGUUUCAAAAACUCAUCUUCUCCAUCAGCUCUAUAAAGUCCGCUAUCUGCGAGCAUAUGCUGAAGGAAGAAAAAUUGGUUUUUCCUUUGGUGAUAGGACAAUUCUCUUCUGAAGAACAGGCUAAGCUUGUUUGGCAGUAUAUCUGCAGUGUUCCUAUUGCUUUAUUGGAAGAUUUUCUGCCGUGGAUGGCUUGUUCUCUUCCUCCAGAUGAGAAACUAGACCUUCUGGAUUGCAUGAAGAUUGUUGUAUCCAAGGAAGAAGUGCUUGAAGAGGUGGUCAUCUCUUGGCUUAAUAAUAAGAAACCUUCUCCUCCUGGAGCCUGCAAUGUCUAUGGACAAGGAGCUCAAUUUUACAGUGGACACGUUAGCUCCAUGGAGAUACUCAAGAUACAUCCAAAUACAUUUGAUUUUGGUGAAGAAGAAAAAUCAAAGCUCUGUUCCAUUUACACAUCUAUAGGACCAAACCCACUUGAUGGCAUUUACAUUUGGAAUACUGCUCUUGCAAGAGAUUUCAGGAAAGUUCUGGAUGAGUUAUACCAAAUAAGAAGCUUGAACAACAUGUCAAACUUGUCUUCCAUAGUAGUUCAGCUACAAUUCCUUUUAGAUGUCCUUAUCUCCUACAGCAACGCAUUGGAUCAAAUAUUUUUUCCCCUGGUAAAUGACCUUUCCAAGAAUGUCCUACCAUUAUCUUGCACACGACUUGUGGAGAAAGGUCAAGUCGAAAGGCUUCAAUUCUUGCUGUACGGAGUGCUUCAAGAUGGAGCGCAACCAAGCAAUUUCCUGAAGGGCCUUUGCAGGGAAGUGGAGUUGCUUGUGAGAGGAAUUAGCAAAAACCUGACACAUAUAGAAACAGAGGUAUAUUCUUCUAUUGGCAAGAAGUGCAGCCAUAAUAUGCUGCUGUGGCUGUUAUAUGCAGGUCUCAAAACUAUGCCUCUUGGGUUGUUAAAAUGCACUGUUCUUUGGUUUUCUGCUACUUUAUUGGAUGAGCAGUUCAAGACCAUGCUGGACGCCAUGACAGAUGCAUGCCCUUUAGGCAACAAGCCAAUUUUAAUUCUGUUGCAUAGUUGGGUUCGCAUGGGUUAUUUAGGUAAAAUAUCCAUGGAAAGGUUUGCAAAAGAUCUGCAAGAAAAUUUUAUCAGAGGAAUCUAUUUCACAUCUGAUCGAAUUGGGGAGGAUGUUGGGUUUGCUAAUUUAAAGUUUGAUAUGCAAGCCUGCACUAUAUUUAACACCAUAGAAUCUGAGCCGAGCCCUGCUGUAAAAGAUAACAAGAUGGUCUGCAACCCCUCAUCUUCUCAUUCCAAAACCAAUGAGAAGCUUGAAUCUGGUGGAAUGACUCUUCAUAAAUUCUCCCCUCAAAUGUGGAGCAAUAUUCUUUCUGUUGUGAGACAUCCUGCUGAGAAUGGCAUUGCCAAAAAAGUUUUGGCUCUAGAAUUAAGACCAAUGGAUCAUUUUGUGUGCUUUCACAAAGCUCUCAUAAGAGAUCUGGACUACAUUGUCUUUCUUUCAGCUAACAUGGCCAAAAGCUUUCAGUUUAUCCCUGAUUUACGUAGACAUUUUGAACUUCUAAAGUUUCUGUAUGACAUUCACAGUGCUUCAGAGGAUGAGGUUGUCUUUCCGGCUCUAGAAUCAAAGGGGAAACUCAAAAACAUUACCCAGUCUUACACCAUUGACCAUAAAUUGGAGGAGGAAAACUUCGCCAAAGUUUCAUCUCUGCUAAAUGACAUUGCCACCCUGCAUGAUGAUCUAGACAAACCGGGUGAGGGAAGUCUACAAUAUCGACAGAUGUGUUUGAAGCUCCAUGAGACUUGCCUGUCUAUGCAGAAAAUAAUCUCGGGGCAUAUUCAUCGUGAAGAAAUUCAACUUUGGCCUUUAUUUGGAGAAUACUUUUCCACUGAGGAACAAGAAAAGAUGUUAGGGUGUAUGCUUGGCAGAACUAGAGCUGAAACUCUACAAGAAAUGAUACCCUGGUUGAUGUCAGCUUUAACCCAAGAUGAACAACAUGCCCUGAUUUCUCUGUGGCGUAGGGCUACAAAAAAUACCAAUUUUGAACAAUGGUUAGGAGAAUGGUGGGAAGAUAUGAAAGAUUAUUGUGUUGCUAAGGAUGAAGAAGAAUCCUCUUUUCCUCCUUCCUUGGCUGCUAACCCUCUGGAAGUUGUCUCAGUGUAUCUGGGGGAACAAACAUGCAGAGAAAGCAAACUUUCAGGAAAAGAAGUUUCUGAUAACAAUGCUGAGCAUUCUGGGUAUAUAUGUCCAUAUUCAAAAGAUUUCAAAGGUGGUCAAAACAAUGAUAAAUAUGAAGAUCUAGUCAACUGUGGUGAAGAACUUGAUAAGAAAACUGAUCAGCAAAUUGUUGAUGAUCAAGCUGAUAAAGCUGGACAAAACAUUCAGGCGUGCCAUGAUGAGCAUCCACUGGAAUUAAAUCAAAAGGAGCUGGAAACUGCAAUAAGAAGAGUGUCCCGUGAUCCUACAUUGGAUUCUCAGAAGAAAUCACAUAUCAUCCAGAGCCUGAUAAUGAGCCGUUGGAUUGUAACACAACAGAAUUCGAACACGUUGAGUGCUGCGGCUAAUGAUAGAGAAGAAGAUUUUGGCCAGUAUCCAUCUUAUCAGGAUUCUCUCAAUGAAAUUUUCGGCUGCAAGCACUACAAACGCAACUGUAAACUUCUUGCUGCAUGUUGCAGCAAACUGUUUACAUGCAUAAAAUGUCAUGACGAGUUCACGGAUCAUUCUAUGGAAAGAAAAGCUAUUACAAAAAUGAUGUGCAUGAAAUGCUUGGUAAUUCAACCAGUUGGCCCAAAAUGCUCAAACAAUGCUUGCAAUAAUUUUCCAAUGGCAAAAUACUAUUGCCCAGUUUGCAAACUAUUUGAUGAUGAAAGGAAAAUUUAUCACUGCCCUUAUUGCAAUCUGUGCCGAGUUGGGAAGGGAUUGGGUAUUGAUUACUUCCAUUGUAUGAAUUGUAAUGCUUGCAUGUCACGGUCUCUUUCCGUGCAUAUCUGCAGAGAGAAGUGCUUUGAGGACAACUGCCCAAUCUGCCAUGAAUACAUUUUUACCUCAAGCUCUCCAGUCAAGGCACUUCCAUGUGGUCAUUUAAUGCACUCAGUAUGUUUUCAGGAAUACACAUAUACUCAUUAUACCUGCCCAAUUUGUAGCAAGUCACUUGGGGACAUGCAGCAACUGUUGACCAAUAUACAAUACCUUGUGGUAGAGCGUCAGUAUUUCCUACGCUUUGGAACACUUACCAAUCUGCUUGUUCCAUCUCCAAUCUACAUUAGGUGUAUUUUGGAAUGUUAGACGCACUAUUAGCUGAAGAGCAAGUUCCGCAGGAGUAUUCAAGUCGAAUUCAGGUUAUUCUAUGCAAUGACUGUGAAAGGAAAGGAAAUGCUUCCUUCCACUGGCAGUAUCACAAGUGCCCUCAUUGUGGUUCAUACAAUACCAGGCUUCUAUAAGCCAAAUACACAGGCGGCUGUUGAACCCAUAAAGAGUUUACAGCAUUGUUUUCCUUGGAAUCCAUGUAAGUUGCAUUGUAAUUGGCAGCGUUGGCGCUAUUGGAGGAGUAAGUGGGUUGUGAUCCAAUGGGCAGUGCGGAUACGGUAUUGUCAUAAUUUUGGGGAGCAUCCUGGUGAAAAUGCGACAGGGCAUUGCUUGGAGGCGCCAUUCCUAAGUGCAAUUGCGAUAUAGAAUCAGUCAAUCCAGUUGACACCUCUUGUUGCUGAUGUUGUCGAUAGAGAGCCAAUUGUGCAUGAAUAGCUUGAAGUUCCUCCUCGGCUAGUUGAAUUUGAUACCACAAUUGUUGUAUGAUUCCUAAACAUCCGUGGACAGGAUACUUAUCGCGUAUAUUUGAUUGAUAGAUGAUGGACUUCAUGGCAACCAACUUCUGGCUGGGGUCUAGCUCUCUCAGAAUCUUCAAGAUGUUGCUCACGCCAAAAAGCUUGUGAGCAUUCUGGAACAUCUUAGGCUGAUCAGCCGGGAAGUAUGGCGCGAGUGGGCAGUCAGCCGUGCACCUCCUCCUCUGAUACUUGCAGGCAGCGCAGGCUUGGCUGGUGCCACCUUUGAGGGUCAUCUCAUCUCAAAGAAAUGUGUGACAAAAAUAAAGAGUAUUCAUGUAAAAAAAAUAUUGGAGGUGGGCUGAGCCAAAAGAGAUGGCAAAAAAAAUAAAAAAAAAAAGAAGAAAGGAAUUGCUCUGCUUAGAUAAGAUAAAAGGAGUGUUAGUGCUGGUGUUCAAAGGAAGGAAGACAGAAGCCACAAAUGGCAACAUUGAUCUCAACUGAACUAGUCUGCUGAUAUAUGCGGAUUUUGCUGCAAGACUUGGUAAGAUAACAGAUUGAGGGAGGGAGACCCGAAAAUGCUGGGGUGUUUCUUUCAACCGGUUAAUUACAUAUACCUCCCUUCAGUUUUUACCAAACUACCAAAGAAACCCUGAGGUUUGGCUAAAUAACCAACACCCCCUUUAAGUAACUUCUGUCAAAGUAUCUUGGACGGAAUCAGUGAAAAGAUCACUUGCCCACAAGUGUUGUAAAUUUGAAAUUCUUCAAUGCCAUUUUAUAGUUUUAAG